RNAcentral lists this transfer RNA (72 nucleotides) under Heterocephalus glaber (naked mole-rat). It matches the Rfam family "tRNA". Rfam says of the family: Transfer RNA (tRNA) molecules are approximately 80 nucleotides in length. Their secondary structure includes four short double-helical elements and three loops (D, anti-codon, and T loops). The record is from Rfam by way of RNAcentral. Lineage: Eukaryota; Metazoa; Chordata; Mammalia; Rodentia; Bathyergidae.
GGGGAUGUAGCUCAGUGGUAGAGCUCUUGCCUGGUAUGCAGGAAGCCCUGGACGCAAUCCCCAGCCUUGCCC